This 252-nucleotide ribosomal RNA is filed under the name uncultured bacterium. RNAcentral's name for it is "partial 16S ribosomal RNA". It matches the Rfam family "Bacterial small subunit ribosomal RNA", at positions 524 to 776 of the family's 1533-position model. The record is from RNAcentral.
UACGUAGGGCGCAAGCGUUGUCCGGAAUUAUUGGGCGUAAAGAGCGUGUAGGCGGCUUCACAGGUCCGCUGUGAAAACUCGAGGCUCAACCUCGAGCUGUCGGUGGAAACCGUGUGGCUAGAGUCCGGAAGAGGGCAGUGGAAUUCCCGGUGUAGCGGUGAAAUGCGUAGAUAUCGGGAGGAACAUCAGUGGCGAAGGCGGCUGCCUGGCCCAAUACUGACACUCAGGUGCGACAGCGUGGGAGCAAACAGG